CUCUCGGGUAUAGGUCCCUUGGAAUAGGGCAUCAUAGAGGGUGAGAAUCCCGUCUGUGACACGAGUUCGGGUGCGUUAUGUUACGCUUUCGACGAGUCGAGUUGUUUGGGAUUGCAGCUCAAAAUGGGUGGUAAAUUCCAUCUAAGGCUAAAUAAUUGCAAGAGACCGAUAGCGAACAAGUACCGUGAGGGAAAGAUGAAAAGAACUUUGAAAAGAGAGUUAAAAGUGCGUGAAAUUGUUGAAAGGGAAACGAUUGAAGCCAGUCAUGUCGGUGGGAAAUCAGCUUCCGGAUUUCUCUGGAGGUGCACUUUCUCGCAGGCAAGUUAGCGUCAGUUUCGCAAGUCGUAAAAAGUCCGUCAGAAUGUGAUUCCUUUCGGAGUGUUAUAGCUAGCGGUCAAUGCGAUUUGCGAGACUGAGGAUUGCAGCGAGUGUCUUGCGAGGCUAAGUUAUCGGAUUCUUUGUGGUCGUCUUGGUAACAGCAUGCUGGUGCCGAGUUCGAUUCGUGGAAACGGGGUUUAGUGUCGUAACUCGUUAAGGAUGCUGACGUAAUGGCUUUAAACGACCCGUCUUGAAACACGGACCAAGGAGUCUAACAUACGUGCGAGUGUUUGGGCGGAAAACCCAUUCGCGAAAUGAAAGUGAACGUAGGUGGGAGUUCUCACGGGAACGCACCAUCGACC
This 680-nucleotide ribosomal RNA is filed under the name uncultured Glomeromycotina. RNAcentral's name for it is "eukaryotic LSU rRNA". It matches the Rfam family "Eukaryotic large subunit ribosomal RNA", at positions 172 to 766 of the family's 3401-position model. Lineage: Eukaryota; Fungi; Glomeromycota. The record is from RNAcentral.